RNAcentral lists this antisense RNA (69 nucleotides) under Amycolatopsis tolypomycina. RNAcentral describes it as "ASpks TB sRNA". It matches the Rfam family "ASpks TB sRNA". The record is from RNAcentral. Lineage: Bacteria; Bacillati; Actinomycetota; Actinomycetes; Pseudonocardiales; Pseudonocardiaceae.
CUUCAGCGAGCCCAGCCACAACGGCUCGGCGCGGUCCUGCCCGUACGUGGCCAGCAGCGCCUGGGCCUC